This 484-nucleotide ribosomal RNA is filed under the name uncultured bacterium. RNAcentral's name for it is "partial 16S ribosomal RNA". It matches the Rfam family "Bacterial small subunit ribosomal RNA", at positions 30 to 507 of the family's 1533-position model. The record is from RNAcentral.
AUUGAACGCUGGCGGCAGGCCUAACACAUGCAAGUCGAGCGGCUGCAGGGAGCUUGCUUCUGGAUUCAGCGGCGGACGGGUGGGUAAUGCCUAGGAAUCUGCCUGGUAGUGGUGUAUAAGGUGCUGAAACGGGCGCUAAUACCGCAAUCGUCCUGAGGGCGUAAGUGGGGGAUCUUCGGACCUCACGCCCUCAGGUGAUCCGAGGUCGGAUUAGCUAGUUGGUGGGGUAAAGGCCUACCAAGGCGACGAUCCGUAACUGGUCUGAGAGGAUGAUCAGUCACACUGGAACUGAGACACGGUCCAGACUCCUACGGGAGGCAGCAGUGGGGAAUAUUGGACAAUGGGCGAAAGCCUGAUCCAGCCAUGCCGCGUGUGUGAAGAAGGUCUUCGGAUUGUAAAGCACUUUUAGUGGGGAGGAAGAGCAGUAAGUUAAUACCUCGCUGUUUUGACGGUACCAACAGAAUAAGCACCGGCUAACUUCGUG